AUGCAAGUCGAACGAUGAAGCCCUUCGGGGUGGAUUAGUGGCGAACGGGUGAGUAACACGUGGGCAAUCUGCCCUUCACUCUGGGACAAGCCCUGGAAACGGGGUCUAAUACCGGAUAACACUCUGUCCCGCAUGGGACGGGGUUGAAAGCUCCGGCGGUGAAGGAUGAGCCCGCGGCCUAUCAGCUUGUUGGUGGGGUAAUGGCCUACCAAGGCGACGACGGGUAGCCGGCCUGAGAGGGCGACCGGCCACACUGGGACUGAGACACGGCCCAGACUCCUACGGGAGGCAGCAGUGGGGAAUAUUGCACAAUGGGCGAAAGCCUGAUGCAGCGACGCCGCGUGAGGGAUGACGGCCUUCGGGUUGUAAACCUCUUUCAGCAGGGAAGAAGCGAAAGUGACGGUACCUUGCAGAAGAAGCGCCGGCUAACUACGUGCCAGCAGCCGCGGUAAUACGUAGGGCGCAAGCGUUGUCCGGAAUUAUUGGGCGUAAAGAGCUCGUAGGCGGCUUGUCACGUCGGAUGUGAAAGCCCGGGGCUUAACCCCGGGUCUGCAUUCGAUACGGGCUAGCUAGAGUGUGGUAGGGGAGAUCGGAAUUCCUGGUGUAGCGGUGAAAUGCGCAGAUAUCAGGAGGAACACCGGUGGCGAAGGCGGAUCUCUGGGCCAUUACUGACGCUGAGGAGCGAAAGCGUGGGGAGCGAACAGGAUUAGAUACCCUGGUAGUCCACGCCGUAAACGUUGGGAACUAGGUGUUGGCGACAUUCCACGUCGUCGGUGCCGCAGCUAACGCAUUAAGUUCCCCGCCUGGGGAGUACGGCCGCAAGGCUAAAACUCAAAGGAAUUGACGGGGGCCCGCACAAGCAGCGGAGCAUGUGGCUUAAUUCGACGCAACGCGAAGAACCUUACCAAGGCUUGACAUAUACCGGAAAGCAUCAGAGAUGGUGCCCCCCUUGUGGUCGGUAUACAGGUGGUGCAUGGCUGUCGYCAGCUCGUGUCGUGAGAUGUUGGGUUAAGUCCCGCAACGAGCGCAACCCUUGUUCUGUGUUGCCAGCAUGCCCUUCGGGGUGAUGGGGACUCACAGGAGACUGCCGGGGUCAACUCGGAGGAAGGUGGGGACGACGUCAAGUCAUCAUGCCCCUUAUGUCUUGGGCUGCACACGUGCUACAAUGGCCGGUACAAUGAGCUGCGAUGCCGCGAGGCGGAGCGAAUCUCAAAAAGCCGGUCUCAGUUCGGAUUGGGGUCUGCAACUCGACCCCAUGAAGUCGGAGUUGCUAGUAAUCGCAGAUCAGCAUUGCUGCGGUGAAUACGUUCCCGGGCCUUGUACACACCGCCCGUCACGUCACGAAAGUCGGUAACACCCGAAGCCGGUGGCCCAACCCCUUGUGGGAGGGAGCUGUCGAAGGUGGGACUGGCGAUUGGGACGAAGU
Molecule: ribosomal RNA, 1426 nt
Filed under: Streptomyces mediolani
Lineage: Bacteria; Bacillati; Actinomycetota; Actinomycetes; Kitasatosporales; Streptomycetaceae
Description: bacterial SSU rRNA
Rfam family: Bacterial small subunit ribosomal RNA
Source: RNAcentral